This 726-nucleotide long non-coding RNA is filed under the name Homo sapiens (human). RNAcentral describes it as "HSALNT0373974". The record is from RNAcentral. Lineage: Eukaryota; Metazoa; Chordata; Mammalia; Primates; Hominidae.
GCUAGAUCAAAAGAAACUUUGCAGAUUAUGCUUGCUCUGGAGAAGGUGAGCUGCCAAAUAAGACAUCUGGAUACUGUGAGACUACCAUGUUGGAUAGGCCACAAGUGGGUACUCUGGUCAAAAGUCCCAGCGGAGUAAGAUAUGGAGAGCUAGGCCUAUAAGUGUACAAACUGUGUGAUUGCAUAGGGCUGUGCUAGUGCCUUCCUGAAAAUCUUUAAAGAAUUAUCAGAGGAGCAGGCUAGUUGUUGCAAGAGUGGAUUGUUAUAAGGCAAGCCCAGCUCCUGGAGCUCCUCUCUUAGGCACACUCUCACUUGCCCUUUUGCUCUCCCACCAUGGAAUAGCACAGCAUGAUGGUCCUCACAAGAUGCUGGUGCCAUGCUCUUGGACUUCCCAGUCUCCAGAACUAAUGGAGAAGAUCAGGGAAAGUCUGAAUGAAGGCCAGCAGGCAGUAUCAGCCGAACCAAGAAGGGCCAUAAAGCUGCAGACCAGGAAAUCUGCCCUCUGAGAGCACAGAAUUUAGAAUGGACAGCAAAUUUAGUAAAAGUGUUCCAGCUAGAAGAUUUGGAUGAAAAGUGAUUCCAAAAAAAUGAGGCAAUCUCAUCCCGAAACUAUUUAAAACUACUCUCCUCUCUCUUGAUAAACCGUCAGUAGGAAGUGUGUCGUUUAUUCCCUCACUCCACACUGGAUUCAUAUGGGCUGAUAGCAGCAGGAUUAAAAAUUUUUUUC